This is a non-coding RNA of Punica granatum (pomegranate), 416 nucleotides long. NCBI's taxonomy places the organism in Eukaryota, Viridiplantae, Streptophyta, Magnoliopsida, Myrtales, Lythraceae. The record is from RefSeq and is a predicted model, not a curated record.
AAAGUUACUACAGAAUACAUAAUGUAAAAUUGUACACAAUAGCUGCUCGACUAAACGAAAAACGACGAAAGUCCUCACCAUUUGAGUUUGCCACAUAGAGAUUAGUUCUCGAGGAUCUCGAUAUGAUCCUGCACAGACUCACUACUCAGCUAAUCAUUGGCCGUCAAAGCUGCCUAUGCUUUGUUCUCCUGAUCACCAUUACAAGAGUUGAGAGAUUUUUGGGACAACAAGUUAAAGUAUGCCCGAACGGUGGAGAUGAUGGAUGACUAGAAUGCAAAAUCACUUGUUCCUCUCCUGGUGUAAUUGAAUACAUGAAGCAGAACCAGUGCUCUUGGCUCUUUGUGGACAGUGACUCCGAACACCCCUUGUGAGGAAGACGAUGAACAAUACAAGGAUGUGACAUGUUUCUAAAAAAA